UCAUAUAUAUAUAUAUAAUAACAAGUCCUACUAAUCAUGCAUCAUCAUACAACUUCUACUCGUUAUUAAUAAUAAGUCAUACGAUCAUCAUCCUCAUAUAUAGUCAUCGAACCCAACCCUACAUAAUUGUUCUUAGCACAUGAUCAUCAGUAUCAGGUAGGACCUAAACACCCUUAAGGUAAAAUAGCAUAAAACAAUAUAGACCCUGACUCUCCAUUAUGAAGAAUGGCGAUCAUCCUGUCUCCAAUUCUUGCCUUUCGCUGCUUAUUGCUUCCAAGAAGCUCCUUACGACUGUCCAUACAUUUUUUCCAUUCUUUGAUUGUUAUGUCUCCACUUCUUUUAGAAACCCGGUAUGGACAGUUGAGAUUCGUAGGACGACCUGGUCGUAUGUUCAAAACAUGAAGGCUACCACGCGUAUACAUCAGAUGAGGCACACAAUCAUUCGGGAUUAUCUGUUGAAAAAC
Molecule: ribosomal RNA, 464 nt
Filed under: Triticum aestivum (bread wheat)
Lineage: Eukaryota; Viridiplantae; Streptophyta; Magnoliopsida; Poales; Poaceae
Description: partial small subunit ribosomal RNA
Source: RNAcentral